Molecule: ribosomal RNA, 250 nt
Filed under: uncultured prokaryote
Description: partial 16S ribosomal RNA
Rfam family: Bacterial small subunit ribosomal RNA
Source: RNAcentral
CACGUAGGGGGCGAGCGUUGUCCGGAAUAAUUGGGCGUAAAGGGCGCGUAGGCGGCUCGGUAAGUCUGGAGUGAAAGUCCUGUUUUCAAGAUGGGAAUUGCUUUGGAUACUGUCGAGCUUGAGUGCAGGAGAGGUAAGUGGAAUUCCCAGUGUAGCGGUGAAAUGCGUAGAGAUUGGGAGGAACACCAGUGGCGAAGGCGACUUACUGGACUGUAACUGACGCUGAGGCGCGAAAGUGUGGGGAGCAACA